Smittium mucronatum is the source of this 121-nucleotide non-coding RNA. Lineage: Eukaryota; Fungi; Kickxellomycota; Harpellomycetes; Harpellales; Legeriomycetaceae. The record is from Rfam.
GUCAUGUCUUCGGACCUCUGACACUUGAUAAAAUUGGAACGAUACAGAGAAGAUUAGCAUGGCCCCUGCGCAAGGAUGACACGUAAAUCUUGAAUGGCAACCUCUACGGAGGAAUUUUUUU